RNAcentral lists this unclassified non-coding RNA (209 nucleotides) under Hevea brasiliensis (rubber tree). Lineage: Eukaryota; Viridiplantae; Streptophyta; Magnoliopsida; Malpighiales; Euphorbiaceae. The record is from RNAcentral.
AAUGAAACCCGGUGGUCCAUUUCGUACUGCUGGUCAUCGAGGUAGACAAAUUUUAGAUGAUGAAGGCCCCAUGUUUUGUCAUAUACCCUCUAGGAGGAAGUCACCUGGUAGAAGAGAUGGACUUCCAGUACGAGGUGUUAAAAUGGUACACAGAAUGCAUAGAAGUAUUAGUCCAGGUAGAUGCAUUCGUGAACAUGAGUCUGAAUUGG